RNAcentral lists this unclassified non-coding RNA (390 nucleotides) under fungal sp. Its description in RNAcentral is "partial internal transcribed spacer region". The stretch from base 1 to 46 matches the Rfam family "Eukaryotic small subunit ribosomal RNA", at positions 1786 to 1831 of the family's 1831-position model. Lineage: Eukaryota; Fungi. The record is from RNAcentral.
AAGUCGUAACAAGGUCUCCGUAGGUGAACCUGCGGAGGGAUCAUUAACACGUUUCCAAAAACGUUUUCUAACCAAAUCAACGUGAACCUAAAACUACUCCCUUAUCAGUGUGACGAACGAAUAAUCAUCAGGGUGGAGUGCAACGAAAGUUGUGUUAUGACUCGUUCUAGGGGCCCUUCGAGGCUUCAAUCCGCUGAUAAGUGUCUUUGCGACCACCUGGCAGUCUACAUUCGUGUAGCGUUCUGCCGAAUUUUUUCACAACAAUUUUUAACCCCUUUCACAACAUACUAAUAACUGAACCAUUUUUUUUCUAAUACAUCCCUUGUGAUGUAUUGAAAAAAAGAUAUACGUAAUGCUGAACAACUCUUAGCAAUGGAUAUCUUGGUUCUC